Molecule: ribosomal RNA, 523 nt
Filed under: uncultured bacterium
Lineage: Bacteria
Description: bacterial SSU rRNA
Rfam family: Bacterial small subunit ribosomal RNA
Source: RNAcentral
AAUAGAUACCCGGGUAGUCCACGCCGUAAACGAUGAGUGCUAAGUGUUAGAGGGUUUCCGCCCUUUAGUGCUGCAGCAAACGCAUUAAGCACUCCGCCUGGGGAGUACGGUCGCAAGACUGAAACUCAAAGGAAUUGACGGGGGCCCGCACAAGCGGUGGAGCAUGUGGUUUAAUUCGAAGCAACGCGAAGAACCUUACCAGGUCUUGACAUCCUCUGACACCCCUAGAGAUAGGGCUUCCCCUUCGGGGGCAGAGUGACAGGUGGUGCAUGGUUGUCGUCAGCUCGUGUCGUGAGAUGUUGGGCUAAGUCCCGCAACGAGCGCAACCCUUGAUCUUAGUUGCCAGCAUUCAGUUGGGCACUCUAAGGUGACUGCCGGUGACAAACCGGAGGAAGGUGGGGAUGACGUCAAAUCAUCAUGCCCCUUAUGACCUGGGCUACACACGCGCUACAAUGGGCAGAACAAAGGGCAGCGAAGCCGCGAGGCUAAGCCAAUCCCACAAAUCUGCUCUCAGUUCGGAUCG